RNAcentral lists this ribosomal RNA (253 nucleotides) under uncultured bacterium. RNAcentral's name for it is "partial 16S ribosomal RNA". It matches the Rfam family "Bacterial small subunit ribosomal RNA", at positions 524 to 776 of the family's 1533-position model. The record is from RNAcentral.
UACAGAGGUCCCAAGCGUUGUUCGGAUUCAUUGGGCGUAAAGGGUGCGUAGGUGGCGCCGUAAGUGGGGUGUGAAAUUUCGGAGCUUAACUCCGAAACUGCAUUCCAUACUGCGGUGCUUGAGGACUGGAGAGGAGACUGGAAUUUACGGUGUAGCAGUGAAAUGCGUAGAGAUCAUGAGGAAGACCAGUGGCGAAGGCGGGUCUCUGGACAGUUCCUGACACUGAGACACGAAGGCCAGGGGAGCAAACGGG